GGAAGUGCGAAAUCAGCCGGCGCCCUGACCUCGUUUGGGAAAUAAGGGAAUGUCAAAUACUGAUUUCUAAAAAAUCCACUCUGAAGCCGUGGAUCAUCUGCUUCGUGUCAAUCACACUUCUAGGCACUGGGCAUAGAGCGUUUUCCCAGGAGUAUGGUUUGGAUGGAUGGAUCAUUCCAGAGAUAUCCUCUGAAGUCUUAUGAAAGAUUUCCCACAAAGGCUUAUUGAAGACUCUGAUAUAAUGAGGAGACUGAAGCUGGAAAAGGUUAAGAAACUUGUGCAAGAUCACCAGCAAUAAGCAUCUGACCAGGACUCAGACCCAUGUAGCCAGACUCCAGAGUCUUUUACUACUGUACUGUGCAGCCUGGCUUAUAGGAUCUUAGUUCCCCGACUGGGGAUCGAACCCAGGCUCCCAGCAUUGGAAGCGAGAUUCUCAACCACUGGACCACCAGUGAAUCCCCUGUUGAUCUUAAAAAGUAUGGUAAGUGAAGUUUAUGGUAAGUAUAGCUCCAUAUUUUUAAAUGUUAAAAAGUGUUGUCUGUGGAGACCUGGAGAUCCCUCUGAGACAUUCUAGUGGGUCUGCAGGGUCAAAAGUAUUUUCAUAAUAACACUAAGACA
This is a long non-coding RNA of Globicephala melas (long-finned pilot whale), 618 nucleotides long. RefSeq lists it as uncharacterized. Lineage: Eukaryota; Metazoa; Chordata; Mammalia; Artiodactyla; Delphinidae. The record is from RefSeq and is a predicted model, not a curated record.